Molecule: ribosomal RNA, 119 nt
Filed under: Aotus nancymaae (Ma's night monkey)
Lineage: Eukaryota; Metazoa; Chordata; Mammalia; Primates; Aotidae
Source: RNAcentral
GUCUACGGCCAUACUACCCUGAACGCGCCCGAUCUCGUCUGAUCUCGGAAGCUAAGCGGGGUCGGGCCUGGUUAGUACUUGGAUGGGAGACUGCCGGGGAAUACCGGGUGCUGUAGGCU